Molecule: non-coding RNA, 347 nt
Organism: Mus musculus (house mouse)
Lineage: Eukaryota; Metazoa; Chordata; Mammalia; Rodentia; Muridae
Source: the annotation of a RefSeq genome assembly
AUGAGUGUGCCCACUCAGGUCCUGGGGUUGCUGCUGCUGUGGCUUACAGAUGCCAGAUGUGACAUCCAGAUGACUCAGUCUCCAGCCUCCCUAUCUGUAUCUGUGGGAGAAACUGUCACCAUCACAUGUCGAGCAAGUGAGAAUAUUUACAGUAAUUUAGCAUGGUAUCAGCAGAAACAGGGAAAAUCUCCUCAGCUCCUGGUCUAUGCUGCAACAAACUUAGCAGAUGGUGUGCCAUCAAGGUUCAGUGGCAGUGGAUCAGGCACACAGUAUUCCCUCAAGAUCAACAGCCUGCAGUCUGAAGAUUUUGGGAGUUAUUACUGUCAACAUUUUUGGGGUACUCCUCC